UCAGUACACGUAGUCAACAUCCAGGGACGUGAUAACCUCGGGAAACUGAGGAUAAACCGCGAUAGGCAUGAUUUCUGGAAUGGUUCAUGGCCGAAAUCUAUAUGGCCCCUGGAUUGGACUGCGGCCGAUCAGGCUGUUGGUGAGGUAAUGGCCCACCAAACCUGUAACCGGUACGGGCUCUGAGAGGAGGAGCCCGGAGAUGGGCACUGAGACAAGGGCCCAGGCCCUAUGGGGGCGCAGCAGGCGCGAAAAUCUCUGCAAUAGGCGAAAGCUUGACCAGGGGGUUUACUCUGAGUUGAUUCCCGCUAAAGGGGAAUCUUUUUUGGCACCCUUUAAAAAUGGUUGCAGAAUAAGGGGUGGGCAAGUCUGGUGCCAGC
RNAcentral lists this ribosomal RNA (377 nucleotides) under unidentified archaeon. RNAcentral describes it as "bacterial SSU rRNA". It matches the Rfam family "Archaeal small subunit ribosomal RNA", at positions 90 to 462 of the family's 1478-position model. The record is from RNAcentral.